CGCAGCCGCGGUAAUUCCAGCUCCAAUAGCGUAUAUUAAAGUUGUUGCAGUUAAAAAGCUCGUAGUUGAAUUUCGGGAUUAGUACGUUGGUCGUGCCUUCGGUACGUACUGGUGUUACUGAUUCCUACCUUCUGACGAACCAUCAUGUCAUUAAUUUGGUGUGGUGGGGAAUCAGGACUGUUACUUUGAAAAAAUUAGAGUGUUUAAAGCAGGCUCGCGCUUGAAUACAUUAGCAUGGAAUAAUGAAAUAGGACGUUGAUCCUAUUUUGUUGGUUUCUAGGAUUGACGUAAUGAUUAAUAGGGAUAGUUGGGGGCAUUAGUAUUCAAUUGUCAGAGGUGAAAUUCUUGGAUUUAUUGAAGACUAACUACUGCGAAAGCAUUUGCCAAGGAUGUUUUCAUUAAUCAAGAACGAAAGUUAGGGGAUCGAAGACGAUCAGAUACCGUCGUAGU
Molecule: ribosomal RNA, 450 nt
Filed under: uncultured Glomeromycotina
Lineage: Eukaryota; Fungi; Glomeromycota
Description: SSU rRNA
Rfam family: Eukaryotic small subunit ribosomal RNA
Source: RNAcentral